Homo sapiens (human) is the source of this 319-nucleotide long non-coding RNA. RefSeq lists it as uncharacterized. The transcript is spliced from 3 exons. The record is from RefSeq and is a predicted model, not a curated record. NCBI's taxonomy places the organism in Eukaryota, Metazoa, Chordata, Mammalia, Primates, Hominidae.
UUGCAUCAUUAGCUGGGGAAAGGAGCCUGGACCUUCUUGUUCCUGAGUGUGUCUACAAGCCUAAUCUUUCAUGGUAGUGUGACAAGAAUCUCAUCUUUAGCUGCUGAACUAAGGAGAAAGUCCUACAACAUUUUUUGGAGUCCAGACAUGGGGCAUGAGAGAAGGCCCAGGAGCUCCAACUUUGUCUUGGGACCUUAAGAGGAAAGGAUCACCCAACUCACAGAUAUCUGAGGAUACAAACCCAUGGCUGGGCUCAGCUUUAAUAGGAUUUAUCUGAGGAAGAUCCAGAGGAAGAUGAUAACAGAGGUUAAAAGGCAUG